AUCCUGGCUCAGGAUGAACGCUAGCGGCAGGCCUAACACAUGCAAGUCGAACGGUAACAGGAAAGAGCUUGCUCUUUUGCUGACGAGUGGCGCACGGGUGCGUAACGCGUAUACAAUCUACCUUUUGCUGAGGGAUAGCCCAGAGAAAUUUGGAUUAAUACCUCAUGGUAUUAUUGAUAGGCAUCUAUUAAUAAUUAAAGGUUACGGCAAAAGAUGAGUAUGCGUC
RNAcentral lists this ribosomal RNA (226 nucleotides) under Heterosigma akashiwo. Its description in RNAcentral is "partial Bacterial small subunit ribosomal RNA". It matches the Rfam family "Bacterial small subunit ribosomal RNA", at positions 16 to 237 of the family's 1533-position model. The record is from RNAcentral. Lineage: Eukaryota; Raphidophyceae; Chattonellales; Chattonellaceae.